UGGGGAAUAUUGCACAAUGGGGGAAACCCUGAUGCAGCGACGCCGCGUGAGCGAAGAAGGCUUUCGAGUCGUAAAGCUCUGUCCUAUGAGAAGAUAAUGACGGUAUCAUAGGAGGAAGCCCUGGCUAAAUACGUGCCAGCAGCCGCGGUAAUACGUAGGUCCCGAGCGUUGUCCGGAUUUAUUGGGCGUAAAGCGAGCGCAGGCGGUUAGAAAAGUCUGAAGUGAAAGGCAGUGGCUCAACCAUUGUAGGCUUUGGAAACUGUUUAACUUGAGUGCAGAAGGGGAGAGUGGAAUUCCAUGUGUAGCGGUGAAAUGCGUAGAUAUAUGGAGGAACACCGGUGGCGAAAGCGGCUCUCUGGUCUGUAACUGACGCUGAGGCUCGAAAGCGUGGGUAGCAAACAGG
This 403-nucleotide ribosomal RNA is filed under the name Verrucomicrobiota bacterium. Its description in RNAcentral is "Verrucomicrobia bacterium partial 16S ribosomal RNA". It matches the Rfam family "Bacterial small subunit ribosomal RNA", at positions 355 to 776 of the family's 1533-position model. Lineage: Bacteria; Pseudomonadati; Verrucomicrobiota. The record is from RNAcentral.